CGGGACGGGUGAGUAACACGUGGAUAACCUACCUAUAAGACUGGGAUAACUUCGGGAAACCGGAGCUAAUACCGGAUAAUAUUUUGAACCGCAUGGUUCAAAAGUGAAAGACGGUCUUGCUGUCACUUAUAGAUGGAUCCGCGCUGCAUUAGCUAGUUGGUAAGGUAACGGCCUACCAAGGCAACGAUGCAUAGCCGACCUGAGAGGGUGAUCGGCCACACUGGAACUGAGACACGGUCCAG
RNAcentral lists this ribosomal RNA (242 nucleotides) under uncultured Staphylococcus sp. RNAcentral's name for it is "partial 16S ribosomal RNA". It matches the Rfam family "Bacterial small subunit ribosomal RNA", at positions 100 to 334 of the family's 1533-position model. Lineage: Bacteria; Bacillati; Bacillota; Bacilli; Caryophanales; Staphylococcaceae. The record is from RNAcentral.